UGGGGUGUCGCCAAGUGGUAAGGCCCGGGGUUUUGAUCCCCGUAUGCGCAGGUUCGAAUCCUGCCACCCCAACCA
RNAcentral lists this transfer RNA (75 nucleotides) under Immundisolibacteraceae bacterium. RNAcentral describes it as "tRNA-Gln". It matches the Rfam family "tRNA". Rfam says of the family: Transfer RNA (tRNA) molecules are approximately 80 nucleotides in length. Their secondary structure includes four short double-helical elements and three loops (D, anti-codon, and T loops). The record is from RNAcentral. Lineage: Bacteria; Pseudomonadati; Pseudomonadota; Gammaproteobacteria; Immundisolibacterales; Immundisolibacteraceae.